This 132-nucleotide small nucleolar RNA is filed under the name Castor canadensis (American beaver). RNAcentral describes it as "Small nucleolar RNA SNORA51 (ENSCCNG00000012009.1)". It matches the Rfam family "Small nucleolar RNA SNORA51". Rfam says of the family: ACA51 is a member of the H/ACA class of snoRNA that guide the sites of modification of uridines to pseudouridines. Lineage: Eukaryota; Metazoa; Chordata; Mammalia; Rodentia; Castoridae. The record is from Rfam by way of RNAcentral.
AACCUCCUGGUGCUUACCACAGACUGUGUUCUUAUACUGACUGUCUAGAAAGAGCAGGUAAAGUAAACCUACCCCACAUACACUUCAGCUCAGGUCCUGUGCUUGGUCUGUAUUGUGAAUGGGGAGACAUGG